Long non-coding RNA from Gossypium raimondii (Peruvian cotton), 590 nucleotides. RefSeq lists it as uncharacterized. Lineage: Eukaryota; Viridiplantae; Streptophyta; Magnoliopsida; Malvales; Malvaceae. The transcript has 3 exons. The record is from RefSeq and is a predicted model, not a curated record.
UUUCUUUUUCAUUGAGGUUAGGUUCCCUCAAUUCUUUGCCAGAAAUUUACUUCUCCUUACUUCCUCACCAAGAACAGAGAUAAAUCCUUUGAAUCUAAGGUCAAGCUAUCACUGGUGGCAAAGCGGUGAUUGAAGUUUACUUCUUUGGGUUUCAUAUCCAUCAAGAAACUCAUGACCUUUGUGAGGAAACAUCUUGCCCUAUUACAGUUGGCAACUUUGUGCUCUCUCACAAUAAAUUUUUACCUGGUUUUACUCCACCUGGUUCCUACAAGCUUAAGAUGACAUUAUCAGGUGCGGGAAUUAAACAGUUAACUUGCAUUUCCUUCGAUUUCAAAAUCAGUUUUGGUGCUUCUGAAUCUUCAGUCUCUGAUAGCUGAUCAACCGACUAAGUAUAUAUAUGAAAUGUGGAAUGUAGUAGGAUGUUAUAUCUUAUUUAUUGCGAACAGAUCUCACAUUCUACAAUAUUUUGUACUUGUAUUCCGUAUUAUCGUUCUUGUGAAGAUGUCAUUUACAUGGAAGUCACUCCAAUCUGCUGAAUCAUGUUAACAAUGUUAAUUUCCCUUAAUAUCAAAUCAUUUUACAUGCUUGUA